RNAcentral lists this ribosomal RNA (339 nucleotides) under Triticum aestivum (bread wheat). Its description in RNAcentral is "partial small subunit ribosomal RNA". Lineage: Eukaryota; Viridiplantae; Streptophyta; Magnoliopsida; Poales; Poaceae. The record is from RNAcentral.
AUGAUAGAUGCAGCUCAUUUUGUUUAUUCAUUUGUGGCAUCAUAUAUCAUAUCUUACAAAUGUGCUUUUGUGGUGCUCUCAGUGCAGCUGUUGAAUGUGGUUAAGAGGUCAGUUAUCAGGUUAUAUCAAUCCAGGUGCAACAUGUGCAUCAGCAUGACUGAAACCUUUGCCACAAUUUCCCUGUGUAUGACAUGUGGGACCUACAGGCCAAUAUUAACAUGUCGAUUUGCCUUUUAUUUCUCUGCAAGAUGUAGCCCUGCUACUGCAACAGCAGUACAAAUUUGGUGCACCUACAGGCCAUUCAGUGUGACAACAUCCAGCACCAGAAAGAUGCACUGA